AGCUUGACACAGUUCCUGGUGGAGGCAGUGUCCAUUCUAGCUCACCAUCACCGAGAGGCAGUGAUCUCCAGCCUCCUCAGCAAACGUCUGCCGAUGGACAGUGACACCAUUGAGCUGUGGAGAUCUCUGGGGGGAGACCCCUUGCUUGCCACUCAAGUCCUAUAACUCCUAAUAGACAAGAUAAAGACUCCAACAAGAAAAGAAGGCAGCAUCAGCUCAGAGACUGAAAUUGACAGGCAUUUGGCAGCUGCUGAACCUCUCUCAGCUUUCUAUCAAAGGAUUAGAGUCUGUGCUUUUCAAGGGUGGGAAUGAGAGACUGGUGAGAGCGCUCAGGAAGCAGAGAACAUGGAUUCUUCUGGAAAACCCAAGACUCACCAUGAGGGAGUGUGUCUGCUGGUGAGUCUUCUGCUAAGAUCUGGACUCCUAACACCUGAGAUCAUACAGAGCCUCCUCCCCUGGGUGAAUUCCCCCACAGAAAACCCCAGAGUCACCAGCACAGCUUUCCUUGCCC
Dermochelys coriacea (leatherback sea turtle) is the source of this 511-nucleotide long non-coding RNA. RefSeq lists it as uncharacterized. NCBI's taxonomy places the organism in Eukaryota, Metazoa, Chordata, Testudines, Dermochelyidae. The record is from RefSeq and is a predicted model, not a curated record. The transcript has 4 exons.